CUGCAGGCUGCCCAUGAAAACAGUGCUGGCAUCUGCCUCUGGGAAGGCCUCGGGAAGCUUCCCAUCAUGGCAAAAGGCAAGGGGAGCCGGCACAUC
Sapajus apella (tufted capuchin) is the source of this 96-nucleotide long non-coding RNA. RefSeq lists it as uncharacterized. The transcript has 3 exons. Lineage: Eukaryota; Metazoa; Chordata; Mammalia; Primates; Cebidae. The record is from RefSeq and is a predicted model, not a curated record.